RNAcentral lists this unclassified non-coding RNA (891 nucleotides) under Hevea brasiliensis (rubber tree). Lineage: Eukaryota; Viridiplantae; Streptophyta; Magnoliopsida; Malpighiales; Euphorbiaceae. The record is from RNAcentral.
AUGAGUAUCACUUGAAUCAACAACGUAAAUUACAGCUUGAGUAUUUGGAAAAUAAUAUGGUCAUAAAUAAACAAGCAAAUACAGAGCAAGCAAUUAAGGGGGAUGACCACACAAUAAAAGCAGCCAACAUGAGAACCCCUAGAAGAAAUAGAGUUUGUGGAGCAGAAGCACUUUGUGGAAUUAGACAGUCUGGAAGAUUCACAAAUAUGGUUUUAGAAGCAGAUUUGACAAGAAAAUGGAGUUUUACAAAUAGGUUGUCCAAAUUUCACUAAAAUUUAAAGAAUUACCAUUUGCACCACAAAAGCAAAAACACCCACCAAACCAUUAAUUCCGACAAAAGGCAACUAAAAUACUUAAUUCUUUGAUAUUUUAAAGCAUUAGUAAAAGUCAAAACUUGAAAAUUUUCCGUUCAGAGUCCAAAUUCCCCGUUCAGCAUGUGUAUAUUCAUUUUUAAGACCAAAUUUUGCAUCAAAAAUUAUUAAAACAAUAAUACAUUUACCGUCCUAACUAUCGAAAUUGAGGAAUUGAGAAUGUGUGGUAUGGCUCACCACUGUUCACGCGCAUACCAGAUUAUUCUUUUCAGAUCUCCUUCCCUAUCGACUUUUGGCGGAAAUAUAUGCUGACGAAGAAGGGCGGUGUGACAAGGUGUUGCCGGUUUCGGAGAUACCGUGGUUAGAGGAGAUAGCACUGGCAUCUCUCAAUUCCUCACUCAAAUCGCGAUUAUAGGGUGGGGAAAUCAACAAUCCAUUAGGAUUUUGAGAAAAGAAGAAUAUGGCAAGUGGCGACGACCUCACGACGGCCGGAUAGAGUGAGAAGUUUCAGUCCAGAAAGGCACUCUUGUACUUCAUUGUUUGGUGGGUGGAAUAUAUACAAACUUCUUUUUGACUCAUU